UGACACAUCCAACUAUAAUACAGCCUCACUGAACUCCACAAAGCCAACACAUACCUCUUCUAGCAUAAAAUUGUCUAAGAACACACAACACCACUCACUGUUGAUCUGUUCACUUAUGUCUUGAGAUUUUAAUCCUUCCAAAAUCUAGAAAAGAUGGGUAUUUCUCAACACUGUCCAUAUUCAAUCUAGAGAGAAAUUGAGACAACUUCUUCACAAAGACAAAGAGAAUAAACAGGCAGCAGAUAUGAAGAAAGAUUUUAAGAAAAAUAUGAUGAAGAUUACAACUGUUUAAAAUCAAUACAGAAGCUCAGCUUGAAUAGAAUGUGGAAAGAUAUUCUUAAAAGACUGUUGAAUCUCAGUCUCAAAGAACACACUCCACACAGCAUUUGAUUGUUGCAGUGAGAAAAUAAAUCAAGUUACAAAAAUGAUCUCAUGUAGCAAAAUCUUUCUUAAUGAGAAUUAGAUAUCUUGUUGCAUAAAUUCUAUUAGAUAUGAAUGAACCA
Molecule: small RNA, 503 nt
Filed under: Histoplasma capsulatum
Lineage: Eukaryota; Fungi; Ascomycota; Eurotiomycetes; Onygenales; Ajellomycetaceae
Also listed under: 1 other name
Description: hypothetical RNA
Source: RNAcentral